RNAcentral lists this ribosomal RNA (253 nucleotides) under uncultured bacterium. RNAcentral's name for it is "partial 16S ribosomal RNA". It matches the Rfam family "Bacterial small subunit ribosomal RNA", at positions 524 to 776 of the family's 1533-position model. The record is from RNAcentral.
UACGUAGGGUGCGAGCGUUAUUCGGAAUUACUGGGCGUAAAGCGCACGUAGGCGGCUUAGCAAGUUGGAUGUGAAAUCCCUCGGCUCAACCAAGGAAGUGCAUCCAAAACUGCUGAGCUUGAGUACUUAAGAGGAUCGCGGAAUUCCCGGUGUAGAGGUGAAAUUCGUAGAUAUCGGGAGGAACACCAGUGGCGAAGGCGGCGAUCUGGGAAGAUACUGACGCUGAGGUGCGAAAGCGUGGGGAGCAAACAGG